Molecule: ribosomal RNA, 399 nt
Filed under: uncultured bacterium
Lineage: Bacteria
Description: bacterial SSU rRNA
Rfam family: Bacterial small subunit ribosomal RNA
Source: RNAcentral
GACGAACGCUGGCGGCGUGCUUAACACAUGCAAGUCGAGCGGUAAGGCCCUUUCGGGGGUACACGAGCGGCGAACGGGUGAGUAACACGUGGGUGACCUGCCCUCAGCUCUGGGAUAAGCCUGGGAAACCGGGUCUAAUACCGGAUAUGACUCCAUGACGCAUGUUGUGGGGUGGAAAGCCUUGUGCGGCUGAGGAUGGGCCCGCGGCCUAUCAGCUUGUUGGUGGGGUGAUGGCCUACCAAGGCGACGACGGGUAGCCGGCCUGAGAGGGCGACCGGCCACACUGGGACUGAGACACGGCCCAGACUCCUACGGGAGGGCAGCAGUGGGGAAUCUUGCGCAAUGGGCGAAAAGCCUGACGCAGCGACGCCGCGUGAGGGAUGACGGCCUCGGUGUAAC